RNAcentral lists this ribosomal RNA (489 nucleotides) under uncultured bacterium. RNAcentral's name for it is "bacterial SSU rRNA". It matches the Rfam family "Bacterial small subunit ribosomal RNA", at positions 28 to 507 of the family's 1533-position model. The record is from RNAcentral.
GAUGAACGCUAGCUACAGGCUUAACACAUGCAAGUCGAGGGGCAGCAUGUCGGUUGCUUGCAACCGAUGAUGGCGACCGGCGCACGGGUGAGUAACGCGUAUCCAACCUACCCUUGUCCAUCGGAUAACCCGUCGAAAGGCGGCCUAACACGAUAUGCGGUUCUCAGCAGGCAUCUAACGAGAACGAAAUGUGAAGGAGAAGGAUGGGGAUGCGUCUGAUUAGCUUGUUGGCGGGGUAACGGCCCACCAAGGCGACGAUCAGUAGGGGUUCUGAGAGGAAGGUCCCCCACAUUGGAACUGAGACACGGUCCAAACUCCUACGGGAGGCAGCAGUGAGGAAUAUUGGUCAAUGGACGGAAGUCUGAACCAGCCAAGUAGCGUGCAGGAUGACGGCCCUAUGGGUUGUAAACUGCUUUUAUGUGGGAAUAAAGUGAGGGACGUGUCCCUUUUUGUAGGUUACCACAUGAAUAAGGACCGGCUAAUUCCGUG